UCUCAAUUACCAUAUCAGGAUCCCCUCCAAAUACUUGAGGCUGAUAUACAACAAGCUGCUGCAAUUCCAAGAGCUAGAGGAGAGACUCAUAAAAUGAAAUUGGUUUGCAAUGGAUGAAUUGUUCUUGUGUGAAUAACGUACACUCUUAUUUUGUGUGAAUGAUUAUGAUGACUCUUUGUAUUGGAGGCAUAUAUCCAUGCCACUUAUGUAGCCUUUUAUUUGUUGGUAACCGAGGUAUAUAUAUGUUAUCACCAAGGGUUAAACUUAGAAUCUAAUAAGGGAGUGUGGUGAUUUUAUAAUUAUUUGUCUCUGCGGCAUGUUAUAUAACUUUGUAUCAGACUAAACUCUUAAUCUGAUCCAAAUAUAAAAUACAUUUAUCCUCAAAAUACGAAAAAUAUGUAGAUUCAAUUUGAUACAAAAUAUAUAGAUAGUUUUAAGUUUAUGCUUUUGGAAGCUAAUGGAUUCAAUCGUGUGUUUUUCGGUUUGGAAUCUUACGAGUACAAGGAGAUGACUCCAAUACAUGUUAGUGUCAUUAUGAUGUAGUAAUCAACGUACUCUAUUUUUAGAGUCAAAAACUUGUGAUGUAUUGUUCUUGUUAGCCUGUUCAUAUUUCUCAACUUUUUGUAUCUUCUGUUCUAUUUUUGAGCAGGUUAUCUGAAGAGCUAUGGUUGAGUUAAUGUUUGAGCCUCAGAAGCUUCCAGCAGAAGAAUUAAUCGAAAGAAUUCACAUAUCCCUUGCUUAGCUAUAAGUAAUAGAUGCUAUGGAAUAACCAUACAUUUUGGGUGUUUAAAGAUCCAAGUGGACGACAUGGUGAGCUUUGUGGAUUUGAGAUUGAUUUAUGCAAGAUUUAUGGGACUAGCUUAUGCAGCAAAUUGAAUUGAGUAAUGGAGCAAUUGAAAGCAUUGAGAUUGAGUUCAUUAAUUAUAAUACAGGUAAUCGAAUAAGAAGAGUCUAGCGA
Molecule: long non-coding RNA, 958 nt
Organism: Trifolium pratense (red clover)
Lineage: Eukaryota; Viridiplantae; Streptophyta; Magnoliopsida; Fabales; Fabaceae
Exons: 4
Source: RefSeq, a predicted model, not a curated record